AUGAUUUGUCCUAUCAGCCAAUUAUUUAUUUUGUUUCAACUAUCCAUGAUACUAUCCAAGAGUGGUAUUGUCCAGACUCUACAUCCAUGGCUUGCAGCUGACCGGGAGGUGAAAGGCGCCUGGGAACAAAAGAGCAUCCCUCAGUCACCCAGCGGGCAGAGCGUGCGUAUAAUGUGUGAGUUACAGAGCUAUUAUUAUCUAAAGUCAGAGCCAAUCAUAAGCAAGCAGCUGAGCCUGACUGCAGUUGACUGAGAACAGAAACACAGAGGCUAGAUUUACCUGGUCCAUGUCUACAGAGUGUGCAAAGCCUUAUGCAAAACAAAAGUUGUCUAUUGCAGCCCAAGCAAGAGAAAGUCAGAUAAUAAGCAGAAGGAUUAUGCCACAUCUGGAUGUAUUGCCUUCCAUGACAAAGGAGGUGUUUUCCUGUGCUUUCACCACUCAUAUUGCUACAUCAUGUGUAAAAAAUGUAGCAUUUCAGAGGUAAAGAACUGAUAUACAGGGACACCUGUAUUUUCUAGGUGACCCAACAAAAUGUAUUACUGUGAUCUAGGUUUUAACCUCAUUUAUACUUAAUACAUACUUAAAACUAAGUAUACCUAAUCCCUGUAGGCCAGGUUUCUAAACAGUUUAUUUUCUUUUCCUUCCCCUUAACUGACUGUGGGUAGGAGGUGUUCUGAUACUCCGUGAUUUUCCUGUUUUCUUUGAAACUUUAAGCUGUUUUAAGCUUGUCUUGAAAACAUUUUUCUUUUUCCAUUUUUUUUUUUUUUUCCCCCUCAUGCUUUUUCUCCUUUAGUACUUUUUAAGCAUCAGAGCUGACUUUUAACUAGCUUUUCAACUUGCAUAGCACUGCAGCUCAUUGUAUUUCACUUUGUCAGGCUGGGUCAAAUCUAGCUCACUGUCGACACAUGAUUUAUUCCAAUUACCUUUGCUUUUUAUUUCCACAUGUUGCCUACUUUUACAAGGACUUCUUAAUACAGUGCUGCUAAAAUGUUUUGGGGACAUCUGUGAAUAGUAUUGCCUUUGUGGCUGCAAGACACAGACAGAAAAAAUAUGUACUCAAGUGAAUACUUCUUAGUAAAUACAGGCAGUAAAGUCAGAUAAGUCUCAACUUCUCAUCCUGAAAUGACCACCUGCUGUAUUGAUUUUUUCAUCAGCCGAGUCAGUAAAUGUUUUAGUUGUAUAUAUUCUUUCUUACUGGACAUGUUAUGUUUUGGAGAUGUCUUUUUUCACUGUCUUUGAUUUUCUAUACUACCCACCACCAGAGUGAAACAAAUUGAUCAAUGACACUGCUGCUACAAGUAUUGCUGAUCAUUUGUUUUAAGCUCUAAGAGUCUGUUUUCCACAGGCACUCUUGAUCUUUCUUUAACUUUUGCAAUCCACUUUAUCUGGACAGCUUCUUUACUUUGCAUUCUACUAUGUCAUUUAUGUCCUGUUUCGAUGAUUAUUCCUUCCAUUAGAUCUUCUGUGGAUCUUCUUCCCAAUCACUUUCUCUCAUGAUAUUGACGGAAUCUUUUUCUUUUAUCUUUGUUAGAACUUUCUGUGCCAGCAAGUCAGUAUUAUAUUUCCUCAAGUCUCACUAUCUAGCCUGCCCAGUAUCCUGUUUCUCUCUGUCUAUGACACAUUCUCAGGAAAUAAUGCUAGUCUGUUCUUUUCUUUUGAAUCUUUCUUGCAAAAUCAUCAUCUUUGACACCUUCGUAUCAUCUUACACAACUAACUAGUCACCCUGUCAUUCACUUCACAAUCUUGUGGUUAUUUUUUGCUUUCUGCUUUUCUUUCCAUAAACCUUACUAGAUCUCAUUAUUUCAUUCUUAGUAAUGUUUUGAAAUCCCAUUUCUUACAUCACUUUCACACUAUAAAAUCCCAGGACACUCACUGGUCUUUCUCAUAUGCUGUGACCAUUUUCUCAGUUCUGACUCUGUACCACUCCUUCAGGCUAAAUGUGCAGCAGAAGUGAAACUGCUUCGAACUGGUUGCUCUGUCACUAAAGCCUUUAAUCUGGUUCUUGUGGCUUUUCAUUCACUCCUACCUUUAGCAUUAAAUUUAUACUUACUGAACUCUAUAUACUUUAUUUUUCUAAUUUUCACAAUUAAAAAUGUAUAAGUACAAGAGAAAUCUGUACAUUCCAGUAGAACGUUCAACUGUGAAGCCUUUAGUGCCUUUAGGACUGCGCAAGAUAAAUGCCAGAGAAUUCCUGAGGAUUCUGUUACUUGUGUCAGGAUGGCCCUGAGACCAUAGUCACAUUCAUAGAACAAUAUUUGAGUACUGAAAUCUGCACUAAUUUCAAAUGAAGUUUUAACAGAAUACUUUUUCCUGCUGUUUUUAAAAAACAUCUUUUUCUGAUAUUUAUUAUUGACUCCAUAUUCUUAGAUUAAAGGUCUCAAUUAGAUUUAACUAUUCUAUGUUGAAAAUUAUAGUCCUGAGAUAAUUUUAGCUAAUUUUAGUGUUCUGUGGAAUAUUAUCCUGGAGCAUGCGACUGUCUAUCUUUUGUGUUGCUGCCUUGUGAUAGGAGUUUACAGCCUCCUUCAUUUCCUAUAGAUUGGAGGAACACAGAUUUGGUAUAUGUAUACACAUAUUUUGAAUUACUCUUUGCGGGUAACCUUAUUGUACUGGAUAUGAAGCAGGAAAAAAGAGACAUUGGUCAGGUGAAAGAAUAUAUAUAAAAUGGAUUCAGCAGCUAAUACUGAUGACAGCAAUAUAUACACAAAGAAAAACAUCAGUCAAGAGAACAGAGACAAAUCUAAAAGAAACACCUUUGAGGGGUGUUUCUUUUCAAAGAAACAAUGAAGGGGGAAAUUUCUUAGAACAAUAACCCCACAUAUUCUACUGGGAUGUGGAAAAUGUUCUUACUCAAGGAUACAUUUGGUAUUCUAACUUCAGCAGAAUUUGUGAUAAAGAAUUGACAGUGAGAAAGACAGACAAUUGUUACACAUGCAUAUGCUGAGGUGUUGAGUUUUCUGAGAGUAGGUUUGGGUUUUUUUGUUUGUUUCUCUGGAUUUUGAUGUUUUUGUUUGUUUAGUUGUUCGGGUUUUUUUUCCUUAGAUUCUAUAGAGUAGCUGCUGGUGAUUCCAAAAAACAAUCAGAUUCAAAACGAAGCACGUGCAAUAUAAGAAUCUUUGAAAAUAACAUAUCACAGAGGAAUUUUAUUUAAAAAAUAAAAUUAAGGCAUUAAAAUUAAUUAAAUGUAAC
Molecule: long non-coding RNA, 3186 nt
Filed under: Cyanistes caeruleus (blue tit)
Lineage: Eukaryota; Metazoa; Chordata; Aves; Passeriformes; Paridae
Description: lncRNA (ENSCCEG00000009864.1)
Source: RNAcentral